UACGGAGGGUGCAAGCGUUAUCCGGAUUCACUGGGCUUAAAGGGUGCGUAGGCGGGUUUUUAAGUCAGUGGUGAAAUCUCCAGGCUUAACCUGGAAACUGCCAUUGAUACUACAGGUCUUGAAUUUUCUGGAGGUAAGCGGAAUAUGUCAUGUAGCGGUGAAAUGCUUAGAUAUGACAUAGAACACCAAUGGCGAAGGCAGCUUGCUACAGGAAUAUUGACACUGAGGCACGAAAGCGUGGGGAUCAAACAGG
RNAcentral lists this ribosomal RNA (253 nucleotides) under uncultured bacterium. Its description in RNAcentral is "partial 16S ribosomal RNA". It matches the Rfam family "Bacterial small subunit ribosomal RNA", at positions 524 to 776 of the family's 1533-position model. The record is from RNAcentral.